Molecule: unclassified non-coding RNA, 303 nt
Filed under: Hevea brasiliensis (rubber tree)
Lineage: Eukaryota; Viridiplantae; Streptophyta; Magnoliopsida; Malpighiales; Euphorbiaceae
Source: RNAcentral
AAAUAACUAAAAAGUUCAACUAAAAAAAGGUGGGGUUCUAUCAUGGAUUUGAUCCUGAUUUAUGUAUGGAUAAUGGGUCAGGUAAGUCAUAAAUUAAAUUUAACAAUAACUGCAUAAUGGAUAGGGUUAGAGUAGACUUAGGUAGAUAUGAGUAUCCAUGUAACUUUCAAUUGGGCCAUGAAUGGGUAGAUGGAUCAUUUCCAUCCCACAAAUGUACACAAUCCUUUCCCACCCGUUUGCCACAUCUGGCUUCAGGUGUGAUUUGCUUCUCCUAGUUGAGGUGAUUUUGUAAAAAAUCUGAUG